RNAcentral lists this long non-coding RNA (689 nucleotides) under Mus caroli (Ryukyu mouse). RNAcentral's name for it is "lncRNA (MGP_CAROLIEiJ_G0034622.1)". Lineage: Eukaryota; Metazoa; Chordata; Mammalia; Rodentia; Muridae. The record is from RNAcentral.
CUCUGUGGACCAGGCUGGCCUUGAACUCAGAGAUCCACCUGCCUCUACCUCCCAAGGGCUGAGAUUAAAAGUGUGCACCAGUGCACCCAGUGACAGGCUGCUGUUUUAAAACUGUAAGAUUUAUUGGUGCAACAACUGUUGAAAACACACUGUGGGUCCUUAAAACUAAAAGAAUAAAAACAAAAACAAAAAAGAGAGUCCACCUGGCCCAGCAAUCUCAUGUAUGUAUACUCACCCUGAGAACUGAAAGUUGCCCGAAGCCAACAGCGCCCACCCCCUCCCAUUCUGGAAGUACGUUUAAGAUAGCCAGAAGGGAGAAGCAGGCCAAGUGGCCAACAUGGGUGGAUGCCGAUGAAACACAGCCUAGUCACACGGUGGAUGCUUCUCAGCCAGCCAUAACACAAGACGGACGCACAGAACAUCCUUGCUCACGUCAGUAAUUUCGGCACUCAGGAGGAGGAAGAGGAGGAGACAGGAGGAUCAGGAAUUCAAAUUUAUCCCUGUCUAACAUAUUUUGAGGAUACCCUGGGCUACACAAGACCCCAUCUCAGCUGGGUAUUGUGUCAUAGGCCUUUAAUCCCAGCUCUUGGGAGGCAGAGGCUGUAGAUCUCUAAGUUUGAGACUAGCCUAGUCUACAGAGAGAGAGAUCAGGGAGAGCUGGAGCCACACAGAGAAACCCUGUCUUGAAA